AUGGCAACAGCCGAUAUAUGUUGCCAUAAAGUACCCAGAAAACUGCAGCGACGCAUCCCGAGGCUUGCCCAACCUUCCCCACUCCUCCGCUCCCUAGAGGCGCUGCGCCACCCAAAUGAGCUGCGGGCAAACGCCCAACUUUGCUUUUGCCUCUCGCUGUUUUUAAAUCCAGCAAAGGAUCCAACAGCAUCCAGGCGGAAGGUGGGGCAACAUAUGGGCGGAGCUCACUCGCCACGAGGAACCCUUUUCCUGCUUGCCCUUCCCUCGUCUUCCAGGGUUACGCCCCCCUCUUCACUCGGCCUUCCGCUACUUUCGUUCUCAUUGGCUCCAGAAAGUGCCCGUCAGGCCGGCCACCCAAUCGGAGCCCAAGUUGUCAUUCAGACGCGCCUGCGAAAGGAGGCCGGCAGGCGCGUUCCCGGAAGCGGGCAGCUCAGGCGUGGACUUUUUCGCGUGUCAAAAAGUCUGGCUGGUCGGGAGGCGACGCGGCGGGAGCUCGCGGGCUUUUGCAGCGCUGAGCAUCUUUGUUCAGGAACAAGCCUUGUUGGCGUUGAAGAGGCGGGCUUGCUUGCUAAUUAGUCUAACCCAGGCUCUCUAAUUUGAAGGUGCACCUCCUUAUUCAUUGAAGGACCAGCAGUUGAUCUUGUGUGUGUGUAUAUAUACAACAGUAAAAGAGCCCAGCAGUGGCCUUGGCUAUUUGACAGCAGCAGGACUGACAGGAGUUGAAACAGAUGUCCAGCCGGGCAUUGCAAAGGGAGGAGGGGGACGGAGUGAAGUUGUAUGACCGAGAGGAGCUAAACAGGAAGGUCAGUGGAGAAUUGAUGCAAGAAAUUGACAGAGGGAAUUAUUCUAGGAGAAGGGAAGAGGCUAAAUUAAUACAUGUGUCUCAGUUCUGGUGUGAGAUCCAGGAGCAAGCACUCACCUCGUCUGUCAAGAGAAAUAUAAAGGACUUAAGUGUGGUUUUGACACGACCAUGCCAAUACCUGUAGUGUGUUAUCCUGAGAUCUUUGACACACGACGACCAUGCCAAUAGUGUGUUAUCCUGAGAUCUUUGACACACUGGGAAAUGAAUUUCCUUUUGGAAUGGCUGGGUUUACUGUUUUGUAAAUAUGUGUAGUACUGUACUGCUUGGCAGUAGUUGAUGUGAUAGUUCCCUGUUGCAAAUUGCAAGUGUCAUAUUUAGUAGCAGCUAUCUUUUUAACUUGGGAGUUCUUCAUUCAAUACAAGCACAGCUGUUAUACUGACAAAAAGUAUUACAGCAGUUUCUAUUGUUUUGCAUUUCCAAAAUGCAAGUAAACUGGAUUUUUAUUUUAUUCCUUCUGCCUAGUGCUGUAAAUGGUGUCCAAAUGCAUGUCUUUAAAACAACCUAUUGUUACAUGUGCAUGUGUGAAAACAAUUUUAUAUUCUGAAAGGAAACUACUAGCAAUUUAAAGUAUGUGCUUUAUAACUAGAAUUUGUGAGAGCGGGGAUACAUUUCCAAAUUAUAUUUGUUAUAACAAUAUAACUGUUUCUUGACAAACCAUUUGUCUUUUAUUCAAGGUUGGGUAUAGCAUGCUCAGAAAAGAUAACACUUCUAAGA
This is a long non-coding RNA of Pogona vitticeps (central bearded dragon), 1576 nucleotides long. NCBI's taxonomy places the organism in Eukaryota, Metazoa, Chordata, Lepidosauria, Squamata, Agamidae. The record is from Ensembl.